This 200-nucleotide ribosomal RNA is filed under the name uncultured bacterium. RNAcentral's name for it is "partial 16S ribosomal RNA". It matches the Rfam family "Bacterial small subunit ribosomal RNA", at positions 524 to 723 of the family's 1533-position model. The record is from RNAcentral.
UACGGAGGAUCCAAGCGUUAUCCGGAAUCAUUGGGUUUAAAGGGUCCGUAGGCGGAUUUAUAAGUCAGUGGUGAAAUCUCCCCGCUCAACGGGGAAACUGCCAUUGAUACUGUAGAUCUUGAAUAAUUAGGAAGUAACUAGAAUAUGUAGUGUAGCGGUGAAAUGCUUAGAUAUUACAUGGAAUACCAAUUGCGAAGGCA